GGCGGGAAUUAGCUGGACAUUCGGGAAUCCUCCAACCAGGGAAUUAAGGAAAAGUUUCCCGGAAAAUGUUUCAACCCUAGUUAGUAGUCAGUCUGGCUAGCUCUGUAAAAACCCCAACUCUGGCUCUCCAGCUUCAGGGAAAACAGACCAAAGCCCCCCCUCGAAACGCUAAAGCUGAUUCAGAAGGGUUGGGGGUUAAAUGCGGAAGACUUAUUUCAGUUGAAUGCAUCAUUCAGUUGUACAACUGACUAGGUAUCCCUCCUUUCCCAUUAUUAUCUCCAUGACAACUGACUAGGUAUCCCUCCUUUCCCAUUAUUAUCUCCAUGACAACUGACUAGGUAUCCUCCUUUCCCAUUAUUAUCUCCAUGACAACUGACUUGGUAUCCUCCGUUCCCAUUAUUAUCUCCAUGACAACUGACCAGGUAUCCUCCUGUCCCUCCAUGUGAAAGUCUAACCUCACAGCCGAGGUUCCAUACUCUAUCUCCAUGACAACCAUAACAACUGACUAGGUAUCUCCAUGACAACCCUGCUACAACCAGGACGAUAUAUAUAUAUAUAUAUAUAUGUAUGCGGCACCGGCCAAAUUACAAAUCAUCCGUAACUACGGGUAACCACGGCGGUGUUGUUAACAGACGCAACUGUAACCAGAGGCAACCGACCCCGUCACGACUAACCUACAGCCGACGGCAUUUGGGGUUGCCACGGUAACAGCCGAUCAAGGUGAAUGAUCGCGCCGGAUGGAAGCUCCUCUGUCAGAUGUCUGAACGAGGACACACACACACACACACACAUGGUUCCCUCUUGGUCUGUACCGAGCCACGGCUGUAC
RNAcentral lists this long non-coding RNA (828 nucleotides) under Salmo salar (Atlantic salmon). RNAcentral describes it as "lncRNA (ENSSSAG00000117270.1)". Lineage: Eukaryota; Metazoa; Chordata; Actinopteri; Salmoniformes; Salmonidae. The record is from RNAcentral.